UCGAGCGGGCGUAGCAAUACGUCAGCGGCAGACGGGUGAGUAACGCGUGGGAACGUACCUUUUGGUUCGGAACAACACAGGGAAACUUGUGCUAAUACCGGAUAAGCCCUUACGGGGAAAGAUUUAUCGCCGAAAGAUCGGCCCGCGUCUGAUUAGCUAGUUGGUAGGGUAACGGCCUACCAAGGCGACGAUCAGUAGCUGGUCUGAGAGGAUGAUCAGCCACAUUGGGACUGAGACACGGCCCAAACUCCUACGGGAGGCAGCAGUGGGGAAUAUUGGACAAUGGGGGCAACCCUGAUCCAGCCAUGCCGCGUGAGUGAUGAAGGCCCUAGGGUUGUAAAGCUCUUUUGUGCGGGAAGAUAAUGACGGUACCGCAAGAAUAAGCCCCGGCUAACUUCGUGCCAGCAGCCGCGGUAAUACGAAGGGGGCUAGCGUUGCUCGGAAUCACUGGGCGUAAAGGGUGCGUAGGCGGGUCUUUAAGUCAGGGGUGAAAUCCUGGAGCUCAACUCCAGAACUGCCUUUGAUACUGAAGAUCUUGAGUUCGGGAGAGGUGAGUGGAACUGCGAGUGUAGAGGUGAAAUUCGUAGAUAUUCGCAAGAACACCAGUGGCGAAGGCGGCUCACU
RNAcentral lists this ribosomal RNA (624 nucleotides) under Bradyrhizobium japonicum. Its description in RNAcentral is "bacterial SSU rRNA". It matches the Rfam family "Bacterial small subunit ribosomal RNA", at positions 62 to 730 of the family's 1533-position model. The record is from RNAcentral. Lineage: Bacteria; Pseudomonadati; Pseudomonadota; Alphaproteobacteria; Hyphomicrobiales; Nitrobacteraceae.